Molecule: ribosomal RNA, 468 nt
Filed under: uncultured bacterium
Lineage: Bacteria
Description: partial 16S ribosomal RNA
Rfam family: Bacterial small subunit ribosomal RNA
Source: RNAcentral
GACGAACGCUGGCGGCGUGCUUAACACAUGCCAGUCGAACGGAAAGGCCCUGCUUUUGUGGGGUGCUCGAGUGGCGAACGGGUGAGUAACACGUGAGUAACCUGCCCUUGACUUUGGGAUAACUUCAGGAAGCUGGGGCUAAUACCGGAUAGGAGCUCCUGCUGCAUGGUGGGGGUUGGAAAGUUUCGGCGGUUGGGGAUGGACUCGCGGCUUAUCAGCUUGUUGGUGGGGUAGUGGCUUACCAAGGCUUUGACGGGUAGCCGGCCUGAGAGGGUGACCGGCCACAUUGGGACUGAGAUACGGCCCAGACUCCUACGGGAGGCAGCAGUGGGGAAUAUUGCACAAUGGGCGGAAGCCUGAUGCAGCAACGCCGCGUGCGGGAUGACGGCCUUCGGGUUGUAAACCGCUUUCGCCUGUGACGAAGCGUGAGUGACGGUAAUGGGUAAAGAAGCACCGGCUAACUACGUG